RNAcentral lists this ribosomal RNA (497 nucleotides) under uncultured bacterium. Its description in RNAcentral is "partial 16S ribosomal RNA". It matches the Rfam family "Bacterial small subunit ribosomal RNA", at positions 28 to 507 of the family's 1533-position model. The record is from RNAcentral.
GAUGAACGCUGGCGGCGUGCCUAAUACAUGCAAGUCGAGCGAACAGACGAGGAGCUUGCUCCUCUGACGUUAGCGGCGGACGGGUGAGUAACACGUGGAUAACCUACCUCUAAGACUGGGAUAACUUCGGGAAACCGGAGCUAAUACCGGAUAAUAUAUUGAACCGCAUGGUUCAAUAGUGAAAGACGGUUUUGCUGUCACUUAUAGAUGGAUCCGCGCUGCAUUAGCUAGUUGGUAAGGUAACGGCUUACCAAGGCAACGAUGCGUAGCCGACCUGAGAGGGUGAUCGGCAACACUGGAACUGAGACACGGUCCAGACUCCUACGGGAGGCAGCGGUAGGGAGUCUUCCGCAAUGGGCGAAAGCUUGACGGGGCAACGCCGCGUGAGUGAUGAGGGUCUUCGGAUCGUAAAACGCUGUUAUUAGGGAAGAACAAAUGUGUAAGUAACUAUGCACGUCUUGACGGUACCUAAUCAGAAAGCCACGGCUAACUACGUG